CGGGNGGNAGCCGUNGGGAAUUUUNCNCAAUGGGNGGAANUUUGAUNGAGCCANGCCCGUGNGGGAAGAAGGUUUUCGGGUUGUAAAGCUUUUUUNUAGGGGAAGAAAAAGUUCANUAUUAACUGGNUGUACCUUGACGGUACCUUACCAGAAAGCCCCGGCUAACUACGUGCCAGCAGCCGCGGUAAUACGUAGGGGGCAAGCGUUGUCCGGAAUUAUUGGGCGUAAAGCGCGCGCAGGCGGCCUUUUAAGUCUGAUGUGAAAGCCCCCGGCUUAACCGUGGAGGGUCAUUGGAAACUGGGGGGCUUGAGUGCAGAAGAGGAAAGUGGAAUUCCACGUGUAGCGGUGAAAUGCGUAGAGAUUUGGAGGAACACCAGUGGCGAAGGCGACUUUCUGGUCUGUAACUGACGCUGAGGCGCGAAAGCGUGGGGAGCAAACAGGAUUAGAUACCCUGGUAGUCCACGCCGUAAACGAUGAGUGCUAAGUGUUAGGGGGUUUCCGCCCCUUAGUGCUGCAGCUAACGUAAGCAC
RNAcentral lists this ribosomal RNA (530 nucleotides) under uncultured bacterium. Its description in RNAcentral is "partial 16S ribosomal RNA". It matches the Rfam family "Bacterial small subunit ribosomal RNA", at positions 342 to 867 of the family's 1533-position model. The record is from RNAcentral.